ACAAGGUUGGGAAUUACAGGGAGGGGUUUUAAAGUUAAGAGUUAAGAGAGGACUGACUGGGAACUGUUCCCUUUGGGCAGGUAAAGGCAGUGGGUUACUCUUCAGCAUGAUGCUAGUGUGUGCCAGGCAGGGCAGCUCCAGCCUGCGUGUGUCAUGGUGUAGUUUGUGUGGUGGAUCAUCUUUUGUGUCUCAGACCCUCCUUGGGUCUCAAUCUCCUCUGUGAGCUCCAGGAGCACAGCACUCACCUUGAAGCCCAUCCUUAGGUCUUGGAUAUCCGUGCUGAUCAUCAUGGCGCCGAUCGGCGCUUCUGUUCUUGUGUUAACUCAAAAGCACAGCUCGGCCUCGUGACUUUGACGUUUCUGCUCAGUCCUCUUUGGGCCGGUGUCAUGGUCAGUGUUGUCAGUACUGCUCUGGAACCUUCUGUUUCACAGGGAGCCCUUUUUCUGGGCAUUUUUCCAUGUGUCCUUUUGUUCUUGGGUCUUAGCAAAGCUUCUUGUGCAUCUGUCUAUUUCAGUUCUGACUGUCGCUUCUUGUCACAGAUUGUGAUGUUUGAUUCUUUCUCUGGGGCUGCCUUGUGGCUGCCUUACUGCUGAAAUCAGAAAUAGAUUGACUACAGGAAUAUUGAGAUGAAUUGUAUACCUGUUAAAGACUUGGCAAACUGACAACUGCUUGACUGAAGUGACUUGACUUUUGACUUGACUUGUGACUUGAUUUAGUGCAAGUAGCUGAAGUGAUAAGGCCUUAGGCUGCAAUUCUAAUUCAUCCUUAGCUGAACACCUGUGAUGGACCUUAUACAGGCUUUCACUCUACCACCUCUAAUAGUGUUGAAACAAGAUGCAGACAACAAGAUGAGUCAAAAUUAUCUUCUACAAUGGGAAGAUGCAUUGACUGAAACUUAACUUGGAGAGAGCAAACAAAAUCAGAAUGUGGAGAGAUUUUCCAGCUGAGAAACAAGUGGAAGAGAGCAAAGAGAAAUUGUCCAGGCAAUAAGUUGACUGAUGGUGAACCGGGACCCUCAGAGGAGGACAGAACCCAUCAGAAUUGGAUGAUGUCAUUAUUGUGGGAGGUAAUUGGAUGAACAGUCACAUGUACCAGUGUGUGGUCAGACCGUGAGCCUUUAAAAGGCACAGGUACACUCCAGGUGGAGUCACUCUCCAGAGGCACCCAGCUCAAGCUGCAAUAAACUGAUUUUGUGGCAGAACUGAGGGUGUGAGUUUUUCUUUAUGGUCAGAGGUGAAGACUGAAUCCAGCUGCACCCAGGCUCCUCCCUGAGAAGAAGUUUAGAAAGCAAGGAGAUCUGGUCUGAGCCUUACAACUCAACAAGAGGGAUGUUCUGGACUCAUCUCAUGUUUGCAGUCCUGUAUGUCUUGCCACCUGGUGGCAUCUGCAUUGGAGGAGGAGUUUUUUGGUUUCUGGGAGUUUUCUCUCAUGCUUGUGUCACAUCCUUUGUGUUUGUGUGUUGUGUCUCUGUGCUGUUGGGUUGGAGCUGCUCUCUCUGGAGGCUGUAGCAACUGUGGGAUUGGGAGAAGAAUAGCAAGGAGAGCCUGUGGUUCGUGUUGCUGUGCUGCCUGUGCCUGUUGGGGUGCAGAUGGAGCAUUUGAAGUGAAGUAGCAGCCCUCAGCAGGGGAAGGUGGCCAUUUUCAUAGUGUUUUUGAGAGGGGGUGGCUGGAGCCACCUGGGAGAGGCUGCUGGAGCCAUAGCCAAGCAGGUUGGGUGUCCAGGUUGUUAAGGCCUGAAUGUGUGGGGUGUAAUGUUAACUUGUUUUUUAGCUCCCUUGUAGGUAGUUAGGAUCUAGAAGAUGUUCCUAAAUGGGAAUCUCUGGAAUUGCAUCCAGCUGAUUGCUUGUUACUGCUUUUUCAGAUGCAGGGAGAGGAGCCACGCAGCAGAGGGUGAUGGAGGAGAGGAGCAGAGCGUGGUGAGGAGCUGGGUCGGUGCGUAUUGAAGAGUCUGGGUGAGUUGUCCCCUGGGUUGUGAGGGGAGGUGUGAGUGGUGCCUCUAUCAACUGGCUCAUGGUUUGGGUUUGUUUUGUAGGUGCAAAGCACCGAGGGAAGCGGGAGAUCUGCACUGGAGGUGACUCGAGCAAGGCGGCACACAGGGCUGGACGUGGCAACCUGUGACCAUCAGAGGCCGGACAGGUGAGCCACAAAGUUUUGCAGCCUUGGAGCAGUGGAGCAGCAUGCCAACGGGCCAUCUGUGGAGAUGACACAGGCGUCAGCCAGAUGCCACAAGCAAGGAUGGCCUCAGCAUCUGAUUCUGGAACCAGCAGAUCACUAUGAGGAGCCUGGCGAUGGCAGGAACAUCCCGGCGAGGAUGGCUUGUCGAGGAGGAAGGCUGCAGAGCCCUGGCCAUCUGAAAGCUAAGUGGAGGGUCUGGGAGGAGGGGACAAGGUUGGGGAUUGGAGGGGAGGUUUUCAAAGUUGGUGUAGGGGAGAGGACUGGCAGGGCACAGUCCCCUUGGGGCAGGCAAAGGGAGCGGGUUACUCUUCAGCACAAUGUCAGUGUGUACAGGGCAGGGCAGCUCCAACCUGUGUCUGGCGUGUACUUCGUGUCGUCUGUUUUCUGUGUCUUAGACUGUAUGUUCCUUGGGUCUUGGUGCCUCCAUAGCUCAGUGACCAGCAGGCACCUCAGUAGCCCUCCCAAGAGUCCAGAAUGCAUCACUUCACUGGCACAGAGCCUGUUGAGCCCUUCUCAUCUCACAAUUACAGCUUGAUGCGUGGAUCUCUUUAGCGUGUGUCACAUCCUGGCUGUUUCUGAGCGUUCAUCUCUUGCGGUGGCCAGCCAGGUGCUGCCUGCAGCUCUGCUCUUGAGUCUGCUGUUUCCACAGAGUCAUUUUCUGGGGUUUCAUCCCCAUGUCCUCACUGGUCUUGGGUCUUCAAGCAUGGCUUCUCACACAUCCCUUAUUCUGGCUUUGAUGGCAGCUUUCUCUUGUGUGUGGCUGCAAUCUCCUCUCCUUGGCAGGUCUGCUUUAGAGCAUCCGUGCCAUCGUGGCACCGUAGGGCUUCUCUGCCAGCAUCAUCUUCCCUAUGGGAAUCUUUUACUGAGCAAGGACAAGAGACUUAUAGAAAGUUACAAAGGUCUUGUGAAAAAAGAUCCUGAUCUUGUUGAAACAAGAAGAUGGGGAAGCACGUGCUUUUCUUAAAAUGUGGCAGAAUUGCCGAAGUUGCUGUAGCUGAGCGACGUCUGCUCGUGACAAAAUCAACAAUAUGGAAACCAGACCUUCAGCAUUUAGGCUGCCCACCUCCAACUGAAGACCUACCCACUGUGUGUGCUGUACCUUGAAAUCAGAGUGAGAAAUUCACUAACCAAUCAGAGUAGAGUAACUGUGAACAUGUAUUAGGUGGAGGAAACUAAUCACAAGUGCAUAAAUGUACAUAGCCUCGCUACUUCAGAGGGCAGCUUUGUGUCUAACCAGCUCUCGCCCUGUGUUUGCCUAAACGAAUGAAAUAAAUGAAAAUACCUUGGCUCUGUAUGUAUUUGGCAUCUUGCACACCAGGUGAAUGACCCCACUUUUGGUAUAACGAGGUAUAACACUCGGGGUGUCCGUGUGUAGUCCUGGUCUGUGUGUGAGGGUUGGAGCUGCCCUGCCCAGGGAUGCAGCAGUACUGAUGACAGGGUAGCGUAGCUUUAUGGGGGUGUGGAAGUAAGUUGGUCUGGACCAGUUCUGUUGGCAGAGACCAUACGGUCCAUCUCUGGGCAAACAGUUGUAGGCAGCUGCCACAGUUGUGUUCGCUUUUCUUUACGGUCCGGGGCUAGGAUUGGAUCCAGCCGCACCUAGACUCCUCUGAGAAGGAGUUUAGAAAGCAAGGGGGUCCAGUCUGAACCUCGUGACUGGUUGGGAGCAGCAGUUAGUGUGGAAGGGGAGCGGGUCAGAUCUGGAAGGUGCCUUAGCUUGCACAGAUGGGGCUCCCUAGCUGGGUUUUCUUCUUCUAGCUGUAGUGAGAAGGUAUAUGCAAAAGGCAGAGAGACCUCUGGCCUCACCAAGCUACCUGUGGCUGUGCAGGUGACUUGCUUUACAGGGUGUGUUUGUGUUGUUUCAGGUGCAGAGCAACGAGCAGCACGGCCAAGGGCACGGAAGAGUCUUUUCUUAUGCUGUACUGUCAGGUGCAUUUUCACUUUGUAAGUUAAAAGGUAACAAGGUCCACAGAUGAGGCUCUGGAGGAAUGGUUCAAGAUGCAGCUUCUCCCAGCUCAGAUGCAUUACACAGACUUGCAGACUGCUGCUGAGUUUGGCAGUGAAUAAAUCUGCUUUGAGACCAGAAGAGUCAGUUGAUAAAGGAUGUGGAGUUGUCAGUAAAAUGUUGGAAUGAGUGAAUUAUUUUCAUUGAAACUGGAAUUUGUUUAGCUUUUCCCUGUGUCCUCUUCUUAAGGUCACAUAAGAUCUCAUUUUUUCCCUUUUUUCUUUAUAUCUUGAGUUGUUAUAAAGAAGUCAAUUAGAGAGGCCAAAAUUGCCUUUACUAGGCUCUGUGUUAGUUGCAUAUAAUGAUUAAAAUUCUAUGUGUUUUUCUGAA
This is a long non-coding RNA of Apus apus (common swift), 4506 nucleotides long. RefSeq lists it as uncharacterized. The transcript is spliced from 6 exons. The record is from RefSeq and is a predicted model, not a curated record. Lineage: Eukaryota; Metazoa; Chordata; Aves; Apodiformes; Apodidae.